Molecule: ribosomal RNA, 253 nt
Filed under: uncultured bacterium
Lineage: Bacteria
Description: partial 16S ribosomal RNA
Rfam family: Bacterial small subunit ribosomal RNA
Source: RNAcentral
GACGUAGGGCGCGAGCGUUGUCCGGAUUUAUUGGGCGUAAAGCGCACGCAGGCGGUCUGCUAAGUUUGGAGUGACAGUUGGUGGCUUAACUGCCAAAGUGCUUCGAAAACUGACAGACUUGAGGGCUUCAGAGGGACACGGAAUUCCGGGUGGAGUGGUGAAAUGCGUAGAGAUCCGGAGGAACACCAAAGGCGAAGGCAGUGUCCUGGGGAGUACCUGACGCUCAGGUGCGAAAGCCAGGGGAGCGAACGGG